This 253-nucleotide ribosomal RNA is filed under the name uncultured bacterium. Its description in RNAcentral is "partial 16S ribosomal RNA". It matches the Rfam family "Bacterial small subunit ribosomal RNA", at positions 524 to 776 of the family's 1533-position model. The record is from RNAcentral.
UACGUAGGGUGCGAGCGUUAAUCGGAAUUACUGGGCGUAAAGCGUGCGUAGGCGGUUCGUUAAGUUCGUUGUGAAAGCCCCGGGCUCAACCUGGGAACUGCAAUGGAAACUGGCGGGCUUGAGUGUGGCAGAGGGGGGUGGAAUUCCGCGUGUAGCAGUGAAAUGCGUAGAGAUGCGGAGGAACACCGAAGGCGAAGGCGACACGCUGGGCCAUACCUGACGCUAAAGCGCGACAGCAUGGGGAGCAAACGGG